Molecule: long non-coding RNA, 329 nt
Organism: Bombyx mori (domestic silkworm)
Lineage: Eukaryota; Metazoa; Arthropoda; Insecta; Lepidoptera; Bombycidae
Exons: 2
Source: RefSeq, a predicted model, not a curated record
AGUGAAUCGUUCGAAAGUAAAGUGGAAAUCUUGCGGCAACCCACAAUCCAAUGUCACAUGGCUGGAAUGUCGCGUUUUCUAACAUCACAUCCGGAUUUCAAGCAAUUACAGCCUAUCAAUCGAUACUAUAAGGUCCGCAAACUCAUUCACGAGAUCGAGUGGCAAAAAACUAGAGCAAUGAACCAAAAGUCACGUAAGAUUCCCAUCAACUCCCAAAGCACGUAUUGGCGUCUAAACUACCGCUCAUUGUCAAUAUUGGAGUACUGUUCCGAGCCACUGGUAAAAUCAAUAAAAGCAUUAUCGGUUAUUAAACGUAUGAUUGCUAAGAA